CAGCCUUACCGCCGUUCCUUUUCCUCGGUUGUCUCUUCUGUCGGGAUUCGCGCGACCAAUGGAUUUAAUUAACCCUGCCAACAAACCGGAUUUUGGUUUCAAGCUGCGAAAGUCCUCGUUGACAAUAUCAAUAUCGGUCCCAUUAGUUUCUCAUGUGUUGCUAAGGGGAAAUAUAUGGAAAAUAUUGCCAGAGGCCUGGGAUAUCUAGUUCUCAAAUGGCACAGAAGAACUUCCUGGUCCUUAUUUGGUUUAAGAAUAUCAGGCUUCUUAUCAAUAUUUUAAGCUCUUGGGGUGGUAUUCUUCCGUAAAAAGGAUGCAGGAUGCAGCGAGUUGGCAAAAGGCAGAUAAAGAAUACGGACCGCAACCCAAUUGCGAACUUGAAGUUAUUUCACUCUGAUUUUUAGAGUUGACAUUGGAAAUACAGGAGAAACAGAGAAAGAGAGGAGAGGAAUCUUUCUCAUCACAUCUAGUGAACAUACCAGUAUCUUGGGCUGUGAUGUAGGACAGGGGACUUAGGAAAAGAGUGCAAAAUAAAAUCAGAUGAUGAAAACAAACACUAAAAUUAAGGAAAACAGAUGGAAUGCCCAGGUGCUACAUGGGUGAAAAUGGACAGAAUAACAAAAGGAACUAAAUGGAGCAAAAUUCGUCAAGCGUAUCGCCGUGAGAAAGGAAUAACCAUUCAAAAUCGCCCCUACAGUCCGUUUAUGGGAUCGAACUUCGAAUUGGAGACGUUGACAGAUAAAAAGAGAAUGGAAAAAGGAAAAAGGGGAAUGGGGAAUGAUGCCUUAAAAGAGCACGAAAAACCCAACUGGUUUCUAUCAAUCAAAAAGAAAUAAAAUAAAAUAAAAAACAGAAGAAAAAAAGGAUCCUAUCUAACUAACUACAACAUCUCCCGAUCAUCCAGCCAAUGCGCCCGUGCAAUUCCACAACCCAGAUACAUGGAAUUAUUCCGCUGCUCGAACGCGCCGUACUGAUUUUCCAUCGGUUGAAGUAGCAGUACUGCCUCCGACCCACCUUGCCCAUGUCCCUGUUGCUGGCCAUGCGCAUCCCACAAACCAUUGCCCUUGUACACGGGGUCAACGGCCGGUUUGUACGACGAGGAAGUUGACGUCGUGGCAGCAGCAGCUACAGAGGACUGUGACGCCUCUGCAAACCCAUGUCCGCACGCACUCCUGGCCGCUGAUGUGUCAUAUUCGCGCUGCGCGAGCGCCUCAUAGCCGGACAUGACAUAUGGUUCUGCGUGUUGACUGUCAUCCAGCCCAGUUGUGCUCCGCGCAUCCUGAUCCAUACAGUCCACGUCGAUCAUGGUGUCCCUGGCAGAUUGCAUGCGACUCGGCAAGGAAGACGAUGAAGUAGGGAUGACGCUGCCGCCGCUACCGCUGCAGCUGUCAAAUGGAUUCGCUUUCCGGACACUCGGUCGCGAAAUCUGCCAUAGCUCAAUUAGACGCGUCUUCUGCUCGACAUCUGCAUGCGCGAAGAGGGUCAGCUGCGACGGGAAGAGGGCAGUCGGGUCCACGUUGUUUUGGAACAGUAUUUCUUCCGCUGAGAUUCCGGCUUGCUGCAUGUCGUGCAGGGUUGCAGAAAGCGUCUUUGACCAGCCUCCUGAGCCAGGGAGCUGGUGUGCGGAGUGAUGGUAAUGCUGAGAUAUGUUGUAGGCUAUUGGGCGGGAGAUGGAGGGGG
RNAcentral lists this small RNA (1680 nucleotides) under Histoplasma capsulatum. RNAcentral's name for it is "hypothetical RNA". RNAcentral also lists the same sequence under 1 other name. The record is from RNAcentral. Lineage: Eukaryota; Fungi; Ascomycota; Eurotiomycetes; Onygenales; Ajellomycetaceae.